GCUUGGUACCGGGAUUUGUAUAAAUAACCGAUGCUUUCCUCAGUACCAGGGCUGAAGAGGACCUAAGUGGUCGUAAAACGGCCUGAGGUAGAGGGGUUUAGCCAGUAGGUUCGAGGACUUCUUCCUCGGGAAUCCGACACUACCCAUUCGUAUGGACGGCUGGGUGUCUUUUGAAGAUUUCUCCUCUUCAACGAAA
This is a non-coding RNA of Agrilus planipennis (emerald ash borer), 196 nucleotides long. The record is from Rfam. Lineage: Eukaryota; Metazoa; Arthropoda; Insecta; Coleoptera; Buprestidae.